GACGAACGCUGGCGGCGUGCUUAACACAUGCAAGUCGAACGGAAAGGCCCUGCUCUUGCGGGGCGCUCGAGUGGCGAACGGGUGAGUAACACGUGAGUAACCUGCCCUUGACUUUGGGAUAACUUCAGGAAACUGGGGCUAAUACCGGAUAGGAGCUCCUGCUGCAUGGUGGGGGUUGGUAAGUUUCGGCGGUUGGGGAUGGUCUGGCGGCGUAUCAGCUUGUUGGUGGAGUAGUGGCUUACCAAGGCUUUGACGGGUAGCCGGCCUGAGAGGGUGACCGGCCACAUUGGGACUGAGGUACGGCCCAGACUCCUACGGGAGGCAACAGUGGGAAAUAUUGCACAAUAAACGGAAGCCUGAUGCAGCAGCGCCGCGUGCGGGAUAACGGCCUUCUGGUUGUAAACCGCUUUCGCCUGUAACGAAGCGUGAGUGACGGUAAUGGAUAAAGAAGCACCGGCUAACUACGUG
RNAcentral lists this ribosomal RNA (468 nucleotides) under uncultured bacterium. Its description in RNAcentral is "partial 16S ribosomal RNA". It matches the Rfam family "Bacterial small subunit ribosomal RNA", at positions 28 to 507 of the family's 1533-position model. The record is from RNAcentral.